GCUUAGAGAGGGGUCAAUGUCCUAUCAGCUAGUUGGUAAGGUAGUGGCUUACCAAGGCUAAGACGGGUAGCCGGCCUGAGAGGGUGGUCGGCCACACUGGGACUGAGACACUGCCCAGACUCCUACGGGAGGCUGCAGUCGAGAAUCUUUCGCAAUGCCCGAAAGGGUGACGAAGCGACGCCGCGUGUGGGAAGAAGGCCUUCGGGUUGUAAACCACUGUCGGGAGUUAAGAAAUGUAAGGGUGUUAAUAGCAUCCUUACUUGACUAAGGCUCCGGAGGAAGCCACGGCUAACUCUGUGCCAGCAGCCGCGGUAAUACAGAGGGGGCAAGCGUUGUUCGGAAUUAUUGGGCGUAAAGAGCACGUAGGCGGCUUUGUAAGUCAGUUGUGAAAGCCUUCCGCUUAACGGAAGAACAGCAUCUGAUACUGCAAGGCUAGAGUGCGGAAGGG
RNAcentral lists this ribosomal RNA (448 nucleotides) under uncultured Planctomycetota bacterium. RNAcentral's name for it is "bacterial SSU rRNA". It matches the Rfam family "Bacterial small subunit ribosomal RNA", at positions 217 to 656 of the family's 1533-position model. Lineage: Bacteria; Pseudomonadati; Planctomycetota. The record is from RNAcentral.